Molecule: ribosomal RNA, 253 nt
Filed under: uncultured bacterium
Lineage: Bacteria
Description: partial 16S ribosomal RNA
Rfam family: Bacterial small subunit ribosomal RNA
Source: RNAcentral
UACGGAGGGUGCAAGCGUUGUCCGGAUUUAUUGGGUUUAAAGGGUGCGUAGGCGGCCCGUUAAGUCAGUGGUGAAAUCCCAGGGCUCAACCCUGGAACUGCCAUUGAUACUGACGGGCUUGAGUUCGGUUAAGGCGGGCGGAACUGGUGGUGUAGCGGUGAAAUGCGUAGAUACCACCAAGAACCCCGAUUGCGUAGGCAGCUCGCUGGGCCGAAACUGACGCUGAGGCACGAAAGCGUGGGGAGCGAACAGG